UGGUCUUGACAUCCCGAGAAUCUCUUAGAAACAAGAGAGUGCUUCCAUUAGGAAGAACUUGGUGAC
This 66-nucleotide ribosomal RNA is filed under the name uncultured bacterium. RNAcentral describes it as "partial 16S ribosomal RNA". The record is from RNAcentral.